UUUUUAAGAAACCGGCGGCAGUUAACUACCGAGGAAUUCCUCGGUAGUUAACUGCCGAGGAAAAU
This 65-nucleotide microRNA precursor is filed under the name Medicago truncatula (barrel medic). RNAcentral describes it as "MIR2629 microRNA precursor family". It matches the Rfam family "MIR2629 microRNA precursor family". Lineage: Eukaryota; Viridiplantae; Streptophyta; Magnoliopsida; Fabales; Fabaceae. The record is from Rfam by way of RNAcentral.